RNAcentral lists this ribosomal RNA (465 nucleotides) under Vreelandella stevensii. Its description in RNAcentral is "partial 16S ribosomal RNA". It matches the Rfam family "Bacterial small subunit ribosomal RNA", at positions 338 to 795 of the family's 1533-position model. The record is from RNAcentral. Lineage: Bacteria; Pseudomonadati; Pseudomonadota; Gammaproteobacteria; Oceanospirillales; Halomonadaceae.
CCUACGGGGGGCAGCAGUGGGGAAUAUUGGACAAUGGGGGGAACCCUGAUCCAGCCAUGCCGCGUGUGUGAAGAAGGCCCUCGGGUUGUAAAGCACUUUCAGUGAGGAAGAACGCCUGGUGGUUAAUACCCAUCAGGAAAGACAUCACUCACAGAAGAAGCACCGGCUAACUCCGUGCCAGCAGCCGCGGUAAUACGGAGGGUGCGAGCGUUAAUCGGAAUUACUGGGCGUAAAGCGCGCGUAGGUGGCUUGAUAAGCCGGUUGUGAAAGCCCCGGGCUCAACCUGGGAACGGCAUCCGGAACUGGUCAGGCUGGGGGGAAGGGGGGAAAGGAGGAAUCCCCGGGGAGCGGGGAAAUGGGGUAGGGACCGGAAGAAAUCCAGGGGGGAAGGGCGCCCUCCUGGCCUGACACGGACACUGAGGUGCGAAGGGGUGGUAGCAAACAGGAUUAGAUACCCGAGUAGUC